GAUGAACGCUGGCGGCGUGCCUAAUACAUGCAAGUCGAGCGAACAGAUGAGGAGCUUGCUCCUCUGACGUUAGCGGCGGACGGGUGAGUAACACGUGGAUAACCUACCUAUAAGACUGGGAUAACUUCGGGAAACCGGAGCUAAUACCGGAUAAUAUAUUGAACCGCAUGGUUCAAUAGUGAAAGACGGUUUUGCUGUCACUUAUAGAUGGAUCCGCGCCGCAUUAGCUAGUUGGUAAGGUAACGGCUUACCAAGGCAACGAUGCGUAGCCGACCUGAGAGGGUGAUCGGCCACACUGGAACUGAGACACGGUCCAGACUCCUACGGGAGGCAGCAGUAGGGAAUCUUCCGCAAUGGGCGAAAGCCUGACGGAGCAACGCCGCGUGAGUGAUGAAGGUCUUCGGAUCGUAAAACUCUGUUAUUAGGGAAGAACAAAUGUGUAAGUAACUAUGCACGUCUUGACGGUACCUAAGCAGAAAGCCACGGCUAACUACGU
This 496-nucleotide ribosomal RNA is filed under the name uncultured bacterium. RNAcentral's name for it is "partial 16S ribosomal RNA". It matches the Rfam family "Bacterial small subunit ribosomal RNA", at positions 28 to 506 of the family's 1533-position model. The record is from RNAcentral.